GUCUAUGUAGUAUAUCAAUUAUUCUGGUCUUGUAAGCCAGAGAAGAGGAGAAAAAAUCCUCCAAAGACU
RNAcentral lists this transfer RNA (69 nucleotides) under Nycticeinops schlieffeni. RNAcentral's name for it is "partial tRNA-Thr". The record is from RNAcentral. Lineage: Eukaryota; Metazoa; Chordata; Mammalia; Chiroptera; Vespertilionidae.